UACGUAGGUGGCAAGCGUUGUCCGGAUUUAUUGGGUUUAAAGGGUGCGUAGGCGGCGCCUUAAGUCAGUGGUGAAAUACUUCAGCUUAACUGGAGAGGUGCCAUUGAUACUGGGGUGCUUGAGUACUGAUGAGGUAGGCGGAAUGGACGGUGUAGCGGUGAAAUGCUUAGAUAUCGUCCAGAACACCGAUAGCGAAGGCAGCUUACUAAGGAGUAACUGACGCUGAGGCACGAAAGUGUGGGGAUCAAACAGG
Molecule: ribosomal RNA, 253 nt
Filed under: uncultured bacterium
Lineage: Bacteria
Description: partial 16S ribosomal RNA
Rfam family: Bacterial small subunit ribosomal RNA
Source: RNAcentral